UAAGAAGUUUUUGAAUUUGAUUUUUGGAUUUGUUCCUUUCCACAAUGUUCUAGUAAAAAAAAAUGUUCUGGUUAAUUCAGCUUUCCUAGUUGUGUUGUUAACAUAGUAUUCACAGAUGUCAUUAAAAUAAUUUAAAAAUUAUCUCAUUAUCUCAUCCCUGCAGAUGCACAAUUUAUUCCUUCCCUCCUUGAGAUGUUUCUAAUUUGCCUACAAAGUGGGAUUCAGUCCAGCAGCCGGAGAGAACAAUUUAAUCAAAAUGACAGGAACAGUGACAGCCUUUGAGACUUUAUUUACAUCUGGAGAAUGAGUGACCUGAGACAAAAGAACCUGACUUUGGACCUGGGGAGAAACCAAGCACAAGAAAAGGAAAACAUCUCUGGAAUCCUGAUCCAUGUGACCCUGUGUCAAGCCAAGUAGAGUAAUGGUAAUUUAACAGAGCCAAGAAUUCCUAUCAGCCAAAAUUGAUUGCCUGCAGUUACAUCCUAAUCCUAAGGAAAAAAAAGGUGACAUGG
Sarcophilus harrisii (Tasmanian devil) is the source of this 512-nucleotide long non-coding RNA. RefSeq lists it as uncharacterized. The record is from RefSeq and is a predicted model, not a curated record. The transcript is spliced from 3 exons. Lineage: Eukaryota; Metazoa; Chordata; Mammalia; Dasyuromorphia; Dasyuridae.